CAUUAUAUAUGAUAUUCUGAGUGUGUUAACUUACUUGUUCCUUAUUUCAGGGUAACAAGGGAGAUGCUGGUGUGAAUGGUAAGAACGGUAAUAACGGAGAACCAGGACCUCCAGGUCUACCGGGCAAACAAGUGCUUGUCACUCCAGAGGUGAAAAUUAAGAGAAGCUUAGUUGUGUUUUUUUGCUUCUUGAUGAUGAAUUAGAAAAUAGUUCAAACAAGACACUUUCAUUUAAUUUUACAUUCUCAGGGCGCCACUCUCGAUGAAAUCCAACAAGCAUUUCCUAUUCCAAUGGGCCCUCCAGGAGCUACUGGUGCUCCAGGAAUGAAGGGGGAAAAAGGGGAGAAAGGACACAAGGGAGAUGCUGGAGGUCCUGGGAAAUCUCUGGAAAUGAAGGACAUUGAAGCACUGUUUGAAGCGUAUGGGAUUAGGCUACCGCUGCUAAAGGCUCUGAUCGACAGGAUGCUACAGGAAGGAAUAGAGGAGCUACUUCAUGUUCUCAGCACAUCCAAGAAAAUAACAGAAGAAGAAGAAACACAGACCAACGUUAUAUCUACACACAAAACUUUGGUUAAGUUUGACUUCCCAAGCCAAUCACUGCCAGAGAUGGAAACCAUUGAGGACCCUGUCUUCAAUGAACAGCUUUCUGAUUCACUGUUAGUUGAUACUGUAAAUGUAAGUGAAGAAAGUCCUAAACUGUGGAAUGGUACCAUGAGUAACGGACAACCUGAACUCAACAUAACUGAGUCAAAUGGAUCCACAGUAAACAGGACAAAUGACAGACAUCAUGACGAAGUGUCUCCACUUCAGAUUAAUCUGACGGCAGCAAAUUUCACUUUUAAUCAUUCAUCAACCAAAGAGAUGCUUUCAGGGUUACCAGACACUGGGAUGGAGGCAGUUGUCCUCACACAGGAGGAAACACUGAAGGAUUCAACAUCAAAAAAGAAAAACAGGGAACGUGGCAAAGGCAAAGGAAAUAAAGGACGACCAAAGAGGCAGAGACAACGUCUGACUGGUGACAAAGAUAAGCAGGAGGAAGAGGAAGAAGACUUUGAUAAUGAUGAAGAAUAUGAUUAUGAAAUUCAGGAAGAGCUUUCCCCAGAUGAUCGCCUCAUUUCCAAAGAAAAGAAAGAAAGCAUUGAGGAUGAAGUGUCUCUGCCUGUUCCUCCUACCAUUGCAGAAGAGGCAGAUCAGGAAACCUAAUAACUCCCAGGAGAGAGAGACGUUAGCGCCCUAACACCAAGUGUUGGAGGACUUUGUUCCAACACGAACAAUGACACUCAAUCAGACUAUAAAAAGCACAUCAAGUUUUGUUUAGUUUUUACACUUUUUUAAUCACAAUUUCCAAAAAAUAAUGCCAACUUACAGUUAAUAGGUGUCCUAAUGUGGAGGGACAAACAAAUCUGAUGCUGCUAUAGUCUUCUAAUUUACGACCACUCAUUAAAGAUAAUUGUGUUCCCAUCUGAGUGGUGAUGUGAAAAUAUUUGAUUAGGCUCAUUCUUUGACCGAGGGGUUGUUUGACUCUAAAAAAGCUGAGAUAAACUCUUCAUUAAACCUGUAUAAGGUGGAGACAUGGCCCUUAGUGAGAGAAUUCAAGUGUAAAGGUGCAUGAGAAGCAUUUGUCAACCGUGCACGAUAAAAAACAACACAAUCUGUUAAGAUAGGAAACCGAGAAGUGUGUCUGCCAUAUGAACCAUCCUUUUAUUUUGAAAUGUAAUUUCUUUGUUCAAUCCGUACAGUUCAUCACUUCAACUAAAAAUGUAAAAACAAGAAAAACUAGUCAUAGCCUAAGAUAAAUGGAACCACUGAUUAAUUGUCAUAUUUGAUAAAUUGGGUUUAUAACACAUUGAGCAACCCUUGAGAAAUUCUAAAAUCUUUUGCACACAAAUAAAAGAAAGGUGCUGCGUUUGGUGUCCCA
Gouania willdenowi (blunt-snouted clingfish) is the source of this 1917-nucleotide long non-coding RNA. The record is from Ensembl. NCBI's taxonomy places the organism in Eukaryota, Metazoa, Chordata, Actinopteri, Blenniiformes, Gobiesocidae.